AUACCUUCUCGGCCCCAAAGGCUAAGAUCAAGUGUAGUAUCUGUUCUUAUCAGUGUGAAAACUGGUAUCCACUCAUCAAGUGGCGAUUUUCACAAAAAUUUUUAUUGGGAGCAAGAUAUCUUCAGCUUGCUGCAGAUUCUUGCAAAGGGUUGCCCUUGUGCUGCACUUUCUGCAAGGAGCAGUCCACCCCUU
Non-coding RNA from Blepharisma stoltei, 192 nucleotides. Lineage: Eukaryota; Ciliophora; Heterotrichea; Heterotrichida; Blepharismidae. The record is from the annotation of a GenBank genome assembly.